CAGCAGCCGCGGGAAUACGAAGGGGGCUAGCGUUGUUCGGAAUUACUGGGCGUAAAGGGCGCGUAGGCGGCCAUUCAAGUUAGAUGUGAAAGCCCUGGGCUCAACCUAGGAAUUGCAUUUGAUACUGUUUGGCUUGAGUUCGGGAGAGGUGAGUGGAGUUCCCAGUGUAGAGGUGAAAUUCGUAGAUAUUGGGAAGAACACCAGUGGCGAAGGCGGCUCACUGGACCGACACUGACGCUGAGGCGCGAAAGCGUGGGGAGCGAACAGGAUUAGAUACCCGAGUAGUCCCUGUCUCUUAUAA
Molecule: ribosomal RNA, 301 nt
Filed under: uncultured bacterium
Lineage: Bacteria
Description: partial 16S ribosomal RNA
Rfam family: Bacterial small subunit ribosomal RNA
Source: RNAcentral